RNAcentral lists this ribosomal RNA (385 nucleotides) under uncultured bacterium. Its description in RNAcentral is "bacterial SSU rRNA". It matches the Rfam family "Bacterial small subunit ribosomal RNA", at positions 29 to 417 of the family's 1533-position model. The record is from RNAcentral.
AUUGAACGCUGGCGGCAUGCCUUACACAUGCAAGUCGAACGGUAACGCGGGGCAACCUGGCGACGAGUGGCGAACGGGUGAGUAAUAUAUCGGAACGUGCCCAGUAGUGGGGGAUAGCCCGGCGAAAGCCGGAUUAAUACCGCAUACGACCUACGGGUGAAAGCGGGGGAUCGCAAGACCUCGCGCUAUUGGAGCGGCCGAUAUCAGAUUAGCUUGUUGGUGGGGUAAAAGCCUACCAAGGCGACGAUCUGUAGCUGGUCUGAGAGGACGACCAGCCACACUGGGACUGAGACACGGCCCAGACUCCUACGGGAGGCAGCAGUGGGGAAUUUUGGACAAUGGGCGCAAGCCUGAUCCAGCCAUGCCGCGUGUGGGAAGAAGGCCU